ACCCUUCCCCAAUUCCAUUGCCCUUCUCUGCACAUCCUCCAGCACCUCAGUGUCCUUCCUGCACUGAGGGUCCCAGAACAGGACACAGAAUUUGAGGUGUGGCCGAGGACUGGGCCAUCCAUUCUCUCGUCCUGCUGGGCACGCUAUUGCUGAUACAAGUCAGGAUGCUUAUCUUGUAGCAGCUGCUUAACCAAGGGGUGUUCAGCUCUUUGGGGUUUCCCACUUACCAACUGGUGUACCUCCUGUGACCUGCAUAGCCUCAAUGUAGGUUUUAAAAGGUCAAAAUAAAUUGUUUCGACCUUCCACGGUGCGGGGGAGAAAUUGUUAUUUCUAUUCUGCACCGCAUUUUUAUUCCACGGUGGAAUGAGAUUUUUUUUUUUUGCACUUGUUGCUGAAAAUUGGGGAUGUCUUGUAAACUCACCAUUCCUCGACUGGUUCUUUCCACAGCCCUUCCUGAACAGCAGCUUUGCAGACUCCUCUGGGCACAUUGCCAGAUGGAAGGGAUGCCUUUGCAGGAGAGAGGACUGAAAUCUUCUCAUUGCUUAAACCACCCAGAAAUGGCCCACUUGUCUGCCUCAGAGGAAUCCUAGGCUCACAAUAGCCGUUUAGAACAGGGAGCUGUUCAAACACGUAUCCGUCAUCCAUAGCUUCCCAUGUCCUGUAACAUACCUACUGCUGGGAUAACUGAGCACCUGCCAAGAUUCUAUAUUGCUAGCCAUGAAGUCCUCUUGAAUUUAUCAACACAGAAGCUUACACUGCUGCCUGGCAAGCUUUUGUGACUCAACCUUAACCUCUAAGGAUCUUCUGAAGAUGAGAAAGCAUCAUAUUCUCCUUGCAGAUUUAAUCACUGUUUCCUCUGCUGUGGGCUCUGACUGACAAGAUGGUAGAGAUAUCCUUAGCUCAGACAAAAUCACCUGAAAGCAGUGGCUGCUACAAAGACACAGACCACACACUUGUGCCAUGCAUUGUGUUUGGCAUCCCAGGUUCCCAAACAAAGCACACAGCAAAGCAGAAAACUGCCCACAGCCUGAGGUGACCGACUGACCAUCAAGGUCGGUCAGUUGCCUUCCAGAAGACUCUGGGCCAUGUUUGAGCUGCUGGUCCACGUGCAAGACACUCUCUACUCCCUCACUGUCCCUUGAGCUUCAGAAGGAUGCUUACAACCUUGCAAAAAGCCCCCCCAAAACAUGGCAAUGACGCAUCGAGUGACACUAGACGGCAACUAGAAGCCACCAGAGGAGUGCUGAAAGAUUCCCACCUGUUAACAGUAAAUCAUUCCAUUAUAACUCUAGAAAAAACAAAUGUGACUUGUCCCAUGCACCGAUGUCUUUCUCAAGUGCUGCUUUUCACAGAAGUCCAGGUUUAAGGCCUCUCCCUUUCUUUUUCUGGAUGCUCCCCGUUUCUCAGAAUAUGUCCCAGAGUUGGAGGCAAUUCCCUUGCUGAGACACUGCAUUUCUCACCUGCUGAUUGCAAUUAACCACUGCCAGCUGGGGUCUGGUGAGCUGCUGAGGAGCCAACAAGAAGCAGAGACCAGCACGAGGCCUCGGCUGCACAUACCCUGAGAACAAACAAGAAACGCAGUGCUGUGUUCCUGAGGUGCCUCCACUGUAAAACAAGGUUCUCAAGGCCCAGUGUGUGUGUCAGUCUGGUUUUGGAGGCUCAGCUUGCUCCUCAUGCUCUUACACAUUGCCAUCAUGUGUUUGUUAGAAAGGAAACGUGGAAAUAAAGGUUGCUGUAGGUAAAAACAAA
This is a long non-coding RNA of Corvus hawaiiensis (hawaiian crow), 1749 nucleotides long. RefSeq lists it as uncharacterized. The transcript is spliced from 2 exons. The record is from RefSeq and is a predicted model, not a curated record. Lineage: Eukaryota; Metazoa; Chordata; Aves; Passeriformes; Corvidae.